RNAcentral lists this Y RNA (112 nucleotides) under Microcebus murinus (gray mouse lemur). RNAcentral describes it as "Y RNA (ENSMICG00000044476.1)". It matches the Rfam family "Y RNA". From Rfam's summary of the family: Y RNAs are components of the Ro ribonucleoprotein particle (Ro RNP), in association with Ro60 and La proteins. The Y RNAs and Ro60 and La proteins are well conserved, but the function of the Ro RNP is not known. The record is from Rfam by way of RNAcentral. Lineage: Eukaryota; Metazoa; Chordata; Mammalia; Primates; Cheirogaleidae.
GGCUAUUCAGAAGGUAGUGAGUUAUAAGAAUUCGUUGUUUGCAGUCUGGUACAGUUUCAACUCCUCGUUCUACUGUUUCCUGCUUCUCACUACUGCACUUGACUAGUCUUAA